GCUCAGGACGAACGCUGGCGGCGUGCCUAAUACAUGCAAGUCGAGCGGACAGAAGGGAGCUUGCUCCCGGAUGUUAGCGGCGGACGGGUGAGUAACACGUGGGUAACCUGCCUGUAAGACUGGGAUAACUCCGGGAAACCGGAGCUAAUACCGGAUAGUUCCUUGAACCGCAUGGUUCAAGGAUGAAAGACGGUUUCGGCUGUCACUUACAGAUGGACCCGCGGCGCAUUAGCUAGUUGGUGAGGUAACGGCUCACCAAGGCGACGAUGCGUAGCCGACCUGAGAGGGUGAUCGGCCACACUGGGACUGAGACACGGCCCAGACUCCUACGGGAGGCAGCAGUAGGGAAUCUUCCGCAAUGGACGAAAGUCUGACGGAGCAACGCCGCGUGAGUGAUGAAGGUUUUCGGAUCGUAAAGCUCUGUUGUUAGGGAAGAACAAGUGCAAGAGUAACUGC
Molecule: ribosomal RNA, 456 nt
Filed under: Bacillus xiamenensis
Lineage: Bacteria; Bacillati; Bacillota; Bacilli; Caryophanales; Bacillaceae
Description: bacterial SSU rRNA
Rfam family: Bacterial small subunit ribosomal RNA
Source: RNAcentral